Molecule: ribosomal RNA, 497 nt
Filed under: uncultured bacterium
Lineage: Bacteria
Description: partial 16S ribosomal RNA
Rfam family: Bacterial small subunit ribosomal RNA
Source: RNAcentral
GAUGAACGCUGGCGGCGUGCCUAAUACAUGCAAGUCGAGCGAACAGAUAAGGAGCUUGCUCCUUUGACGUUAGCGGCGGACGGGUGAGUAACACGUGGGUAACCUACCUAUAAGACUGGAAUAACUCCGGGAAACCGGGGCUAAUGCAGGAUAACAUGUUGAACCGCAUGGUUCUACAGUGAAAGGCGGCUUUGCUGUCACUUAUAGAUGGACCCGCGCCGUAUUAGCUAGUUGGUGAGGUAACGGCUCACCAAGGCAACGAUACGUAGCCGACCUGAGAGGGUGAUCGGCCACACUGGAACGGAGACACGGUCCAGACUCCUACGGGAGGCAGCAGUAGGGAAUCUUCCGCAAUGGGCGAAAGCCUGACGGAGCAACGCCGCGUGAGUGAUGAAGGUCUUCGGAUCGUAAAACUCUGUUAUUAGGGAAGAACAAAUGCGUAAGUAACUGUGCGCGUCUUGACGGUACCUAAUCAGAAAGCCACGGCUAACUACGUG